AAUAUUGCGCAAUGGAGGGAACUCUGACGCAGCGACGCCGCGUGAGCGAUGAAGGUCUUCGGAUCGUAAAGCUCUGUCCUUGGGGAAGAAGGUCUUCGGUCUUGACGGUACCGAAGGAGGAAGCCCCGGCUAACUACGUGCCAGCAGCCGCGGUAAUACGUAGGGGGCUAGCGUUGUCCGGAAUUAUUGGGCGUAAAGGGUGCGUAGGCGGCCUUUCAAGUCAGAUGUGAAAGACCACAGCUUAACUGUGGGAUUGCAUUUGAAACUAGAAGGCUUGAGUGUCGGAGAGGGUAGUGGAAUUCCCGGAGUAGCGGUAAAAUGCGUAGAUAUCGGGAGGAACACCAGUGGCGAAGGCGACUACCUGGACGACAACUGACGCUGAGGCACGAAAGCUAGGGGAGCAAAC
This 406-nucleotide ribosomal RNA is filed under the name uncultured bacterium. RNAcentral's name for it is "partial 16S ribosomal RNA". It matches the Rfam family "Bacterial small subunit ribosomal RNA", at positions 360 to 773 of the family's 1533-position model. The record is from RNAcentral.